This 83-nucleotide transfer RNA is filed under the name Planomonospora parontospora. RNAcentral's name for it is "tRNA-His". Lineage: Bacteria; Bacillati; Actinomycetota; Actinomycetes; Streptosporangiales; Streptosporangiaceae. RNAcentral also lists the same sequence under 1 other name. The record is from RNAcentral.
GCCGUCCUGCGGCGGGUGGCCGCCGGGGCGCCGCUGUGGCUGGCGCCGGGCGGCCGCCUGCUGUUCGAGACGAGCGGGCGGCA